AAAUAACAUUCGUGAUUUUUUGCGGAUUUGAGUUUUCCAGUAUUUAUUAUUAUAAAUAAAUGUUGGUGACUUUAAAAUUAUUUAUUACUUGGUAUAAGUUGAAAACGUGCUAUAUGUGUGGUUCGCUGACAACUUGUCCAUCUUUAUAUAUUAUGCGCGCACUUGAAUUUUUUGUCUGUACGAGCAUAUAUUUUUU
This 196-nucleotide unclassified non-coding RNA is filed under the name Diversispora celata. RNAcentral describes it as "partial internal transcribed spacer 2". Lineage: Eukaryota; Fungi; Glomeromycota; Glomeromycetes; Diversisporales; Diversisporaceae. The record is from RNAcentral.